UUAUUGUAAAAUAACUCUGAAACGCAGAGAGCCAUCAGCUAAAGUUUUCGCGUGUCAUGCUGAAUCUUGGUGUUUGCAAAGGGGGAAAGAUACCUGUGUUCAUGCCAUGCCCGUGAAUGCAAUGACUUUUCUACGUAUAUAUUAGAUGGACAUCUAUCAAUGUAUACAGGCAGGCAUCAGUGAAUCUGGUACUUGAUCACAGAAUAGUUCAGUAUGGACUUCAUUGUUUCUGAACUGCUCUGGCAUUCCAGGAGCCCUUCUUUUUUUUAGCAACCCACCCCAUAUACAUUGGAAAUAACGUACAAAUACACGCCACGCAUGCCCGAAUAGCUAGAUAUUUGCACUUUCUUUCUGAGAAGCACCGGGCUUACAGAAACAGCAGCGAUUUCAAUCAAACACAGCAUAUAUUACAUUCCUUUAAUAUGCUGGGGGGGGGGGGGAGAGGAUAAAUCAAUGCUGCUUUCUUUUUUAUCAGACUCCAGCAACCUUCGCCAUCACGCCACACACUUCCAGUCUAUUCAACUUUUAUUUUGUUCUUGUUUUUGACCAGGUAUGGCUAAUACAUACGGAUAGAGUAGCACCGUGGCUCGGUAACACAACCUCAGUACUAUACAGAGGGCAACAGCAACUAGGUAACCGAUCUAAGUAUACUGGGGCGGCUGCUGAUUUGCCAUUGCAUGGAGGUAGUCAACAUUUCUUCCUGAAUACGUGCACUCAAGCCCAGAACAGACCAGCGGCUGCACAGACAGCAAAAUGCAAAAAUGCGCAGAUACAGUCCCUUCUCAUAAAAAAAAAUAAUCUCUAUUUAAGGCAUUUUGGACUAGAGAGUUGGACUCUUAUGUUCCCAAGCAAGUGCAAACACAGGGACCCAGAUGCAUAGGCGACUAUAUAGAGGAUUAAUUGCUGCAAUCGCUCUCCCCCUCCACUUCUUCUACAUGCACCCCCCCCCCCUUUCUACCGCAGAAAUAAUAUAUGUCACUAAAAAGCCGCAGGUGCUGAGAUGAUUGGAAAGUUGUAAAAAGCACCUACACUUGACCAUGUCCUGUUUAUAAACCUGGGAUAUAAUAAGAUCCCAUCAACAAAGAUGGGCUGCUGGUCCGUUUCAAAGGCAGGCUGUACACUUCCAAUUGAUCCUGAUGUGGCAACAUAAACCCUGAACUUAAACAAUGAUCAAGGGAGGAUGGAAAAGAAACAGGGGGAAGGGAAAAGCUUUCGCCGGUAAAGUGGGGAGAACAGCCUGCUGGCUUCCAAAUCUCUCAGACACGAGAGGGGGGACGACGCAUUUUGGCUCACAACCUAGACUGCCUCGCAGGUUCCUGGGGAAUGUUUUGAAGAGGGGAGGGAAAAAAAGGUUUUCUGUCUCAAAUCUUAUACAUUACACAAGAACAAUUCAAAAUCACAGGGAAAACACGAGUACCUUUUUAAGCACAGACAAGCGGGUUUCAACAGCAUUUACAUUAUGAGUAGUUUAAAUGUGUGAUCGUAAAGAAAGAAAGAAAGAAAAAAAAGCCAGUGAUACAUACUUAAAAGCUGCAGUGCACCCUAAUUGCUUAAACCAUAAUGAAGAAUGCGCCAGAUUAACUAUUUGCUCCUCGAAGGAUGCAACAAUAUAACUAUCUAUUAACGCCAUUAGAUGGUUUCCUAUUUAUUUUGAAAACAGCCCUGCCAAGUGAGCUGAUGUGGAAUAGAUGAAUGUAACGCUGAGCUGUAGCUAAUUUUGCUAAAUAAUAUUUGAAAGCUGAGUGCAUCGCAGAUAAAUGAAGACUCUCAGACGUCCUUAUCGGAGAUCAGUUCACAAGAGAAGCAGCAAUUUUUUUUUUAAAGUAGGAUUGUAUUUUAUGGUAUUGACUUCUUUUUUAAUAAAUCCUUCCUGCCAUCUUUCUGCAGAUGUAAAUUUAUUUUAAUGAGCUGGAGGGGGAAGGUUUAUUUUGCUAAAAUAGAGGUUGUGAGAGCGUCAGUGGAAGUCUUCGGGCGGUGGGAAGGGGGGAGCUGGGGGUCCCCCCUCCCCCCUUGGCAAAAAGUUGCUCCCCAGCCCUUUAAUUCUGUCUGGAUUAAAUCGCAAUAUGAAUACAGCAUCGAACAAAUGCUGAGUCUCUCUCUGAACUCAGUGGAAAGCAGUUACGUCUAGCAGAAUUCAAUGAAUUCCUCUUCUCCCUCAAUGUAGUAUGUGUGUGUUUUUCUCUUCCACCACACUGAAGUUCCAUGAAUAGGGAAAGUGGCUCCUAUUGUGUGCCUCUGAACUUCCAAGUCAAUGCAAUUUUUAACCACUGGCUUGUGGUACUUUGAAAAUCACCAGGGGCUGUCAGAGUUGGGUCCUCUGAAAAAUUUACAGUGCUAAAUCAGAGCAUAUGCUGGGAGAGAGGGAAAAAAAUGCUUAAGAUUGGAGCAAGUACAGUAUCUGGCUGCCCCCUAGUGUAAGACUCUUAUCUGCCUAAAAUUCAACUUUCAAAGAAAAGGAUCUCUUAAAGGGAAACGACUUUUGGCUCACGUAUGCAAGCGAGAAUGAAACUUCUGUACAUUUUAAUCUGAUUAAUACCUAAGGAUUUCAGAUUAAUUGACUUGGGCACUCCUGGACCGGACUCUAACAUUUCUGCUGCAGGGCUCCCUUCAAGAAGCCCUGUAUUCAAUAGUCUGAAGACAGAAAUAUGUGCACUAUUCAGAGGUGCGUACAUUUUUGAUGCAGAAAGCAACAGCACGAUAUUGUGCCAUAAUGAAUCCUUCAUCAUGAUUGAAAAAGUGCAACAGGGAAACAUGUUUAAUAGGCUGAAAAAUAAAGAAAGACCAGCUAAUGGAAGCCCAUGAAGUGCUGGUUCUUACUGCCCAAUUUCCCACCUGUAGCCAAAGGACAGGAACGAACCAUCCAUCAAACAGAAAAAUGAAAGACUAGAAGUUCUGCUUCGAUGCCAAGAGUGACAGACACAUCAGAAAUAAACCAGAAUAUGAGAGCGAGAAAGACAAAUCAGUGAGCGAGCAAGCAUGCAAGAGCAAGCACGCGCAUCCUUUUGCCGUAUUCUUCAGUAUUGUUUUAAUUUGUGCUUAUGGCACUAGUUUACUAUCACAUCAGUGAUGGUGGUGAUAUCAGUUUUCACUCUCAUAUUAAGCAGAAUAAGCUGAAGAAACAAGCCCCAGAUGUUGAUAUGAGUAAAGCAAAAAACACGAUUUCCGAAUAAUGCCCAGAAAAAGACACCUUUUACGCGUAGAGAUGUCAACAAAUAUGCACCAGGGCUCGGACCCACUCUGACUGAGCUCAGGGUUGAAAGUCUACUGCAUUCCCGGCAGUCUGGCCAGCACGAUGUGAAAACAUUUGCUGAGAAGCUUCCAAUCAUUCUGCCUUCUCCUGGCUCCCCAGAAUAAUCUCUGAAGACACUGAAAAGGUUCAGAUAACUGAAGAAGAGUCCAGAUUAGAAGAGCACAUGUAACUCUUCCAUCAGGCUGCUAUUCUACUCUGCUCCUCCUCCAUUUUAAGGUAAAAUAAUGAAGAAAUGAAGAAGGAAGCUUUCUUGAGUUUACAGCAGAAAUAAAGCCAAAAAAACAAGGACAGGAAGGCUUCUCUAGACCAGCAACUGGAGCAAAGCACAGAAAUGCAUGCUUGUCAUUGAAGUGAGCGGAGAAGAAGGAAGAGGAGAAUGAUAAGAUCGUCGCCUGCAGCACUUUGUUUAUGAGAACAUCCUUCCAGUGAUAUAUGUCUGCACCAGGUCCCACCUCGAGAGUUGUGAUGGGCCCCUCUUUUUCUACUACUUCCAAAGACUGUGGAGUUCCGCGUUCUCUUCAUUAUCUGUACGAAGCCAUUGAAAAGGGAAAUUUUGAAGCAUCAUAGACUAAGAAAGACCAGCCCUAGGCAGAUGACACUUUGCUCUAUAUCACCUUGACAUCAGACAUAGCACCAUCUCACAACUCUCUAGGUGGAGAUUGGUCUGGAGAGUAGCUGUUUAACCUGGAGCCAGAAAUGUAUCCCAUACCUUUCAUCUGAUUUGCAAAUGACAAUCAUUAAAAUAAUAAAAUAAAAUAAAUUGAGGACAUUCCUUAUAAUAUGGUAAGUUCCUAGUUC
Molecule: long non-coding RNA, 4048 nt
Organism: Gavialis gangeticus (Gharial)
Lineage: Eukaryota; Metazoa; Chordata; Crocodylia; Gavialidae
Exons: 10
Source: RefSeq, a predicted model, not a curated record